GACGAACGCUGGCGGCGUGCUUAACACAUGCAAGUCGAGCGGUAAGGCCCUUUCGGGGGUACACGAGCGGCGAACGGGUGAGUAACACGUGGGUGACCUGCCCUCAGCUCUGGGAUAAGCCUGGGAAACCGGGUCUAAUACCGGAUAUGACUCCAUGACGCAUGUUGUGGGGUGGAAAGCCUUGUGCGGCUGAGGAUGGGCCCGCGGCCUAUCAGCUUGUUGGUGGGGUGAUGGCCUACCAAGGCGACGACGGGUANCCGGCCUGAGAGGGCGACCGGCCACACUGGGACUGAGACACGGCCCAGACUCCUACGGGAGGCAGCAGUGGGGAAUCUUGCGCAAUGGGCGAAAGCCUGACGCAGCGACGCCGCGUGAGGGAUGAC
This 383-nucleotide ribosomal RNA is filed under the name uncultured bacterium. RNAcentral describes it as "bacterial SSU rRNA". It matches the Rfam family "Bacterial small subunit ribosomal RNA", at positions 28 to 412 of the family's 1533-position model. The record is from RNAcentral.